RNAcentral lists this long non-coding RNA (1121 nucleotides) under Sarcophilus harrisii (Tasmanian devil). Its description in RNAcentral is "lncRNA (ENSSHAG00000006511.2)". The record is from RNAcentral. Lineage: Eukaryota; Metazoa; Chordata; Mammalia; Dasyuromorphia; Dasyuridae.
UUGAUCUAUUGAUCUAAUUGAUCCAAGAAGCAACUUGUCAGCUCAUCAAGAAAGGUCUGUCUCACUGGGGAGGAGAGAGGUCCAGCAGCAGCAGCCACAGCAGCAACCAGCCUCAGAGCAGAGGGCCUGCACUGGGCUUUGAGCCUAAGGCAAUCCAUCAUCCACGCCCUGCCUCUGAGACAAGCACAGAAGUAGAAAGUCAUCCCUCAGCACAAUGAAUACCAAUGGUGAAGAAAACUCAUCCAGUAUUACAGAAAUAGAAGAUAAAAAAGAGACAACAGAAUCAGUAAACUCAGAAGAUAAUGCAGAUGGCACACAGAAUGUGCUGGCUAAGGAAAGUUCAUUGUUUUGUCCGCUCUCAAAAUUGUUUCUUUCUGCUGACGCUUUGAUAAAGGAAAAUGAAAAAUCCCAUAACUUAAAAAAGCAUGAGAUUUCCAUUACAGAAGCAAAGAACUAUCUUCUUCGAGUCUUAAACAUCAUAUCACUAGAAACACUGGGUCAAGAAGAACCACUAGAGCCUACUCAGCCUGUUGUCUUAAAGAGCAAGAGUACUAUUUGUGACCCAAUAGGAAUGAUGAAAAUCCUACGCCAUAACUUAUUAUCAGCACCCACAUCAAGUGACAAGAGUGAAAAGAGCCCAAUGCCCCUCAAAGCAUUUGCCCCCCUUGACAAAUUCCCCUCUCCAAUGCACAUUUUUCCUUAUGAGUUGCUUGCCCAACAUUGUCUUCCUUUCUUGGUACCUUUCAUAGUAAGAGAUGAUAUUAGGAAGAAGAAGAUUUUGUGCAGGAUAGUCCUUUUCAAUAUUGUCCCUCCCAAAGGAAAAGUCUUCAGACCACAAGGAAAAAGACAAAAACAUUUUGAAAAAUUGCGCCAUCCAGAAAAACAAUUUAUGGAUCUGAAAGACCUCCAGCGGAAAUAUUAUAAGGGCUUGUUGAAAUGGAAAAAGAAACCCCUGCCUACGUUCAAGGAAAUAAUUCCUAUUAUUGAAAAGACAUAUGUACCUGAAAUGCUCUCGAUGGAUUAUAAAGUCAAUCAGAAGUAAUAAUCCAAAUGUACCAUAAAAAGUGGGUUGUUUGUGUUAAGUAAAACCUUCCAUUAAAUAAAAUGGUGCACAUCUGUGA